Molecule: non-coding RNA, 1877 nt
Organism: Nelumbo nucifera (sacred lotus)
Lineage: Eukaryota; Viridiplantae; Streptophyta; Magnoliopsida; Proteales; Nelumbonaceae
Source: RefSeq, a predicted model, not a curated record
CUCAUUUUCUUUUACCUUGUUGUAAUUUUUUUUUUUUCAUUUUGAGUUUUUUCAUUUUCCCUUCUUUUUUUUAGAUGAGUUCAUCUUCUCGUGUGCUUGGAUCCUUAAAGUCUGAAUCCAUUUCCAUUCAAAGGAGGCGAAGAGGAAGAUCCGAUCGAAGACGUUCCUUCUGCGGAACCAAAGCUUCUCGGCACGAACACAAAGGCGACGAUCUAAGGCCAUUUUCAAUCCAUCAAGAGACGCAGACUCUAUCACUUUCUUUGGACCGGGAAAAGAUCGAUUAUGUUCUCGGGGCAUUAGAAGCAAGAGUUUGAUCUAGGAGCAAUGGCGUCGUCGUCAAAUUCGCCCUGUGCCGCCUGUAAGUUCCUCAGGCGCAAAUGUACGCAGGAGUGCGUAUUUGCCCCCUAUUUUCCCCCUGACAAUCCUCAGAAGUUUGCAAAUGUACACAAGGUGUUCGGAGCAAGCAACGUUGCUAAGCUCCUCAACGAGCUUAGCACAACCCAGAGAGAGGACGCCGUGAACUCGCUGGCCUAUGAGGCGGAGGCUCGUCUUCGCGAUCCUGUGUACGGCUGCGUGGGCCUCAUUUCCGUCCUUCAACAGAAGCUGAAACAGGUCCAACACGACCUCUACAAUGCCAAGAAGGAACUCUCCAACUACAUUGGCCCCUCCGCGAUGCUCCCCAUCACUCAUCAACAUCAUCACCACCUCUUGCACCACCACCAACAACACCCGUCUCCGUCCAUGGGUGGCCCGUUCGGGAUGUCCUCGGUUGGCAUGGGCAUGCCUCCUGGUCCUUCGGCACAGGCCCAGUUUCUGAUACGGGAGCAACAGCAGAUGAUCGAGGCUCAGCAACUGGCAGGAGUUAUGCCUAUGAGAGAUCAGCAUGAGAUGAUGAGGAGAUUUGAACAACAACAGCAUGACCUAGUAAGGUUUAACAGCGGUUUUGAUGUUCCCGCCGGGGCCGGAGGCGCGGGUAGUAGCAAUGGUAGUGGUGGUGGUGGUUUUACCGACGUGCCUAGUGGGGUUGGUGGUGGUGGAUAUAAUCAGAUGAGUGCGGCAUUGCCCUCUUCACUAGCUUUGGUUCCGUUUGACAACCCAUUUCAGGUUCAACAACCGCAACCAGAGCACCCACAGCAACCGCAUCCACCGCACCUACAGCAAUACCAACAGCAACAACAACAGCACAGAACUGGAAGCGAUGAGGGUAGGAGCGUUGGUCCUUCAUCUUGAAUCUAGCAGAAGCAUGGUUUAACCUCUUUCACAAAUCUGCUCCCUACUCGGUUAAAAAUUAAACAUUCCCAGCUCCAGGGGCAAAAGGGACAAAUCAAAGCAAAGGAAGAACAGAGAGAACAAUGAAGACGGAAUCCUGCUGGACUUCUGAAGAAGAGGCAUAUUUUGGAGUUUUGGCUAUUGAUACAUAUAUUUUUUUUAUAAUUAUAUCUCUUUUCUCUCUUUGACCAGUUUGAAGAAAGGAAGGAGGAGGAGGAGGAGAAGAAGGGUAUAUCUUGGAAAACGCGUUUAAAAGAGAAAAAAAAUUACUUUGUUUGCUCUGAUCUCAAUCUCAAUUACUAUCCUUUUGUCCUUUAUUUAUUCGUUCAUUAAUUUAAUCUCUCUCAUCUUUGAAUGGUAGCCGCUCCCUUCUCCUUGACGUCACCGGCGGAUCUCUUUUCAUUAUUUAUGUCCUGCUUUUUUUCUUUUAUUAUAUAUCGUAUGGACUCGUGUAGGUUUUUUGAAUGGUUGUUUAAUUGUUUUAAAGAAGACUAGACCUUAACCUCACCACCCCUUUUUAUUUUUUUUUCUUUUUCUUUUUCUUUUGAUCGAUGAUCAUCAUAAGAGAUUUUGUUAGUGUUAGUUACAAAAGUCUCUUUUUCUGGACA